UAAAAAUGAAUAAAGGCGUUUGAAUCAGAGCUUUAAGUCUAAGUUUUUAUUUAGCAAAUCAGUUAAUAUUUAAAAAUCAAUUAUUUUUUAUUUGUAAUUAUAAUUGACGAGUCAAUUGAAAUGAGAUUAAUAAAAAGAAUAUUUGUUAAAUUUAUUACUAUACUACUAUUAGUAUUUGUUAGCGUGUGGGUGGGGUGCAUGGUGGUUGAAUGUUGAACGUUGAAGGUAUAAUUUUGAAAUAAGAGGAAAAGGAGUAUGACAUUGAAGAAUAAUGAAUAAAUGAAUGAAUUAGUUUAAUUUUGAAGGGGAAGUAGUAGUUGUACUAGUGAGACACUUGAAGGGUUGAAUGGUGUGAGAUGGGGGAG
RNAcentral lists this long non-coding RNA (365 nucleotides) under Cicer arietinum (chickpea). RNAcentral describes it as "long non-coding RNA (CARI_LNC000556)". Lineage: Eukaryota; Viridiplantae; Streptophyta; Magnoliopsida; Fabales; Fabaceae. The record is from RNAcentral.